CAAAGGUAAUGAGCCAAAAAGGGAAAAAUUUAGAUAGCCCUAAGUUCUUCAGCCAGCAGUAUGCGUGUUGGUCUCUGUGUCUCUUGUAUUAAUUCUCUCCUUCCUACAUGGGUGUGAUAAUGUCAUUUCCUUUUUCAAGAAGUUCCCCUUCCUUCCCAUUGCUGAAUCAUUGCUGAGUGAUUCAGGCUCCCUGCAUGGCAAUGACGACUUAUCAGGAUCUGGUCCCCCUCACCUUGCCAGACUCCCCACCCCGACCCCAUCCAUAGCCCUCCAGGCCCCACAUACACAGCAGCCACGCUCUUACUGUCACAUCCUCUCCCCCACUCCACAUCUUUGCUCAUUUAGCUCUUCCGCUAUGAAAUACACUGUUACUUCUUUCUACUCUCUUCCCUCCACCUGGGGAUGCCCUCCUCCUUCCUCAAGACUCUGUUCAGACUCAACCAUUCAUGAGUCCUUCUCUGAUCCCUGAGUCAGAAUUACUGAGUUGCCCCUUGUUGUUCUUAAUUUUGUAUUAUAAUUAGCUGUCUACUGGUCUGUUUUGUCUUAAAACCAUAAGUUCCUUCAGGUCAGGAAGUAUGCCUCAUUAAUCUCUGAAUCUCCCACAAUGCUUAGCACUGUGCCGGCACAGAUGUUUACAGAAUGCAGAACAUUUCCAGCUCCUCUUGCCUCACACAUAUGUAGUUGUUCAUUCUAAUUUUGAGAGGAAAGGAAGAAGUAUUGCUGAUGUUAAUGCUGCUUCUCAUUCAUCCCUUUUCUCCCUUAGAAACUCCUCCGUGGUGGCCUGGGUGUUUACCCCCAGAAGGGGGGAGGCAUAAAAUUGUUGGAUGUAAGCCAUGGAGUAUUGUACCAUCCAGUGGUUAGAAGCAAAGGAAUAGAUGUGCCCAUAGCACUGUGGGUAAAAGGGAAUUAAUGAAUGGUAGCUACAACAACAGGGUGGAAAGAGAAAAGAAGCAACUCCUUGGUACACCCUUUCUGUGCCUCUCAGAACAACUUACUCAGUGUUUUAUUAGCUUGUUAUAUUUUUUUUGUAGGCUACCCGGAAACCUGGAAGACCUUCAUCCCCUCUUCUCUAAAGAACUCUUGGGGUGCCUCGGUGGCUCAGUCAGUUAAGCAUCCAACUUGAUUUCAGCUCAGGAAAGAGUUCCUAUAAAACCACCAUUUCUUGCACCCCAAUCAGGACGAGCCAUCUUCCGUUGUGCAAAGCACAUGCAAGAUGUCAACUCUUCCCUCCAAACAUCCAACUCAGGGAGGUAGUAACUCCAAAGUUCACACUUACAUAUCCCAGAGUAGCAUAUUGGUUUUGUCCUUCUCUCUUUGGGGUCUUUUUUAUAAUAUAGCUGUCAACAUGAAAAGAAGAAAGUCGGCACUGUGCCAGUGAGCUCAAAGAGCUCCCUGAUAGAGACAAUGGUUUCUGAGCACAUGCUGCAACACUAUGAAAAGGGGUGAAAAAUAUCAAGUCACAGAUGUUUGUCUGCUAUAUGGAAAGAAAGCAGAGAUGGGAGGACCCAUCAAGGUUUGAAUCUUAAUUUGCUAUUUCUUUAACAUUCAUGUCCCUACUUGACCCUACAUGUGCCUUAUUCUCUGACCUCACCACCUCCUUGCUCUUUCGAUGCUCUGCAUGCCACAAGCUUAUCAGCCUUACUGCCUUUGUACUUAUUAUUUCCUCUGCCUCUCCCCAAAAUCUUUGCAUGGAAGAUUCCUUCUUGUCAUUUAGUUUUAACCUCAAUGUCACCGCUUCGGAGAUACCUUCUCUGACCUUACAUUGCAAGUGAGAGCCACCCUCCACUGAAACUUCUCCCACAAACAGGCGUGAUCACAUUGUCUGGUUGUGUUUUGUUUAAACCCUCUAACCCUUGUACCAUUUAAUAAAUUCCUGCCUAACAUUGA
This is a long non-coding RNA of Felis catus (domestic cat), 1887 nucleotides long. RefSeq lists it as uncharacterized. Lineage: Eukaryota; Metazoa; Chordata; Mammalia; Carnivora; Felidae. The record is from RefSeq and is a predicted model, not a curated record. The transcript has 2 exons.